AAGGGAACUCAGCAGUAAUAAACGUUAAGCUAUAAGUGUAAACUUGACUUAGUUACAGUCAAAAGGGCCGGUCAAAUAUCGUGCCAGCCACCGCGGUUACACGAGAGGCCCAAGUUGAUAGACAUCGGCGUAAAGGGUGGUUAAUAGGAAAAAUUACACUAAAGCCGAACGUUUUCAAGGCUGUCAUAAGCUUUCGAAAAUAGGAAGCUCCCCCACGAAAGUGGCUUUAAUAACUAUGACCCCACGAAAGCUAGGGCACAAACUGGGAUUAGAUACCCCACUAUGCCUAGCCCUAAACAGACAACCACUUUACAAUAGUUUUUCGCCAGGGAACAACGAGCCUCAGCUUAAAACCCAAAGGACUUGGCGGUGCUUUAGACCCCCCUAGAGGAGCCUGUCCUAGAACCGAUAAUCCCCGUUUAACCUCACCCCCUCUUGUCCUUUCCCGCCUGUAUACCUCCGUCUUCAGCUCACCCUGUGAGGGCUUAGAAGUGAGCAGAAUUGGCACUGCCUAAAACGUCAGGUCGAGGUGCAGCUUAUGAGGGGGGAAGAGAUGGGCUACAUUUUCUGCCCCAGAAUAUACGAAUUUUGCCCUGAAAAAGCAUCUGAAGGUGGAUUUAGCAGUAAGGAGAGAUUAGAGCGCUCUCCUGAAGCCGGCCCUAAAGCGCGUACACACCGCCCGUCACUCUCCCCGAGACAUUCAACACCUAUUUAUAAUAAGUCAAAAGCAAAACAAGGGGAGGCAAGUCGUAACAUGGUAAGUGUACCGGAAGGUGUACUUGGACAAUAUCC
This 792-nucleotide ribosomal RNA is filed under the name Gobiodon unicolor. Its description in RNAcentral is "partial 12S rRNA". It matches the Rfam family "Bacterial small subunit ribosomal RNA", at positions 340 to 1530 of the family's 1533-position model. Lineage: Eukaryota; Metazoa; Chordata; Actinopteri; Gobiiformes; Gobiidae. The record is from RNAcentral.